RNAcentral lists this ribosomal RNA (723 nucleotides) under uncultured bacterium. RNAcentral's name for it is "bacterial SSU rRNA". It matches the Rfam family "Bacterial small subunit ribosomal RNA", at positions 63 to 762 of the family's 1533-position model. The record is from RNAcentral.
UGAACCAGCAGAUUCACUUCGGUGAUGACGCUGGGAACGCUAGCGGCGGAUGGGUGAGUAACACAUGGGUAACCUGCCCUAAAGUCUGGGAUACCACUUGGAAACAGGUGCUAAUACCGGAUAACAACAAUAGCUGCAUGGCUAUUGCUUAAAAGGCGGCGAAAGCUGUCGCUAAAGGAUGGACCCGCGGUGCAUUAGCUAGUUGGUAAGGUAAUGGCUUACCAAGGCGACGAUGCAUAGCCGAGUUGAGAGACUGAUCGGCCACAUUGGGACUGAGACACGGCCCAAACUCCUACGGGAGGCAGCAGUAGGGAAUCUUCCACAAUGGGCGAAAGCCUGAUGGAGCAACGCCGCGUGAGUGAAGAAGGUUUUCGGAUCGUAAAGCUCUGUUGUUGGUGAAGAAGGAUAGAGGUAGUAACUGGCCCCUAUUUGACGGUAAUCAACCAGAAAGUCACGGCUAACUACGUGCCAGCAGCCGCGGUAAUACGUAGGUGGCAAGCGUUGUCCGGAUUUAUUGGGCGUAAAGCGAGCGCAGGCGGAAAGAUAAGUCUGAUGUGAAAGCCCCCGGCUUAACCGAGGAAUUGCAUCGGAAACUGUGUUUCUUGAGUGCAGAAGAGGAGAGUGGAACUCCAUGUGUAGCGGUGGAAUGCGUAGAUAUAUGGAAGAACACCAGUGGCGAAGGCGGCUCUCUGGUCUGUAACUGACGCUGAGGCUCGAAAGCAU